UGGGGAAUCUUGCNCAAUGGAGGAAACUUUGAUGCAGCGAUGCCGCGUGAGUGAAGAAGGCCUUUGGGUUGUAAAGUUCUUUCGUCGGGGAAGAAAAUGACUGUACCNGAAUAAGAAGGUCCGGCUAACUUCGUGCCAGCAGCCGCGGUAAUACGAAGGGACCUAGCGUAGUUNGGAAUUANUGGGNUUAAAGAGUUNGUAGGUGGUUAAAAAAGUUGGUGGUGAAAUCCCAGAGCUUAACUNUGGAACUGCCAUCAAAACUUUUUAGCUAGAGUNUGAUAGAGGAAAGCAGAAUUUCUAGUGUAGAGGUGAAAUUCGUAGAUAUUAGAAAGAAUACCAAUUGNGAAGGCAGCUUUCUGGAUCAUUACUGACACUGAGGAACGAAAGCAUGGGUAGCGAANAGGAUUAGAUACCCUGGUAGUCCAUGCCGUAAACGAUGUGUGUUAGACGUUGGAAAUUUAUUUUCAGUGUCGCAGCGAAAGCGAUAAACACUCCGCCUG
Molecule: ribosomal RNA, 500 nt
Filed under: uncultured bacterium
Lineage: Bacteria
Description: bacterial SSU rRNA
Rfam family: Bacterial small subunit ribosomal RNA
Source: RNAcentral